UACGAAGGGGGCUAGCGUUGCUCGGAAUCACUGGGCGUAAAGGGUGCGUAGGCGGGUCUUUAAGUCAGGGGUGAAAUCCUGGAGCUCAACUCCAGAACUGCCUUUGAUACUGAGGAUCUUGAGUUCGGGAGAGGUGAGUGGAACUGCGAGUGUAGAGGUGAAAUUCGUAGAUAUUCGCAAGAACACCAGUGGCGAAGGCG
Molecule: ribosomal RNA, 200 nt
Filed under: uncultured bacterium
Lineage: Bacteria
Description: partial 16S ribosomal RNA
Rfam family: Bacterial small subunit ribosomal RNA
Source: RNAcentral